UCUAGUUGGGUUGCCAGAUCGAUGAGAAUUAAUAAUUAAUGUUGUUUGACCGACUGGUACGUAAGAGGUUCAUUAAUGUUGGAACUGUAUGAUUAGUCAAUCGUGUUAGGUUGUUUUUUCCAGUGAAAAUUGGAUUGAAUGCUCACUAAGUCUACGUACCGACACAGAAAAAAAAAAGAAAAAAAAAAGGAAUGUCGGUCUGGCUUUGUGGGUUAACGACGGACAUGAACGAACCCACAUUUUUA
RNAcentral lists this long non-coding RNA (245 nucleotides) under Linum usitatissimum (flax). RNAcentral's name for it is "long non-coding RNA (LUSI_LNC004850)". The record is from RNAcentral. Lineage: Eukaryota; Viridiplantae; Streptophyta; Magnoliopsida; Malpighiales; Linaceae.